Molecule: ribosomal RNA, 758 nt
Filed under: Neisseria cinerea
Lineage: Bacteria; Pseudomonadati; Pseudomonadota; Betaproteobacteria; Neisseriales; Neisseriaceae
Description: bacterial SSU rRNA
Rfam family: Bacterial small subunit ribosomal RNA
Source: RNAcentral
AUUGAACGCUGGCGGCAUGCUUUACACAUGCAAGUCGGACGGCAGCACAGAGAAGCUUGCUUCUUGGGUGGCGAGUGGCGAACGGGUGAGUAACAUAUCGGAACGUACCGAGUAGUGGGGGAUAACUGAUCGAAAGAUCAGCUAAUACCGCAUACGUCUUGAGAGGGAAAGCAGGGGACCUUCGGGCCUUGCGCUAUUCGAGCGGCCGAUAUCUGAUUAGCUAGUUGGUGGGGUAAAGGCCUACCAAGGCGACGAUCAGUAGCGGGUCUGAGAGGAUGAUCCGCCACACUGGGACUGAGACACGGCCCAGACUCCUACGGGAGGCAGCAGUGGGGAAUUUUGGACAAUGGGCGCAAGCCUGAUCCAGCCAUGCCGCGUGUCUGAAGAAGGCCUUCGGGUUGUAAAGGACUUUUGUCAGGGAAGAAAAGGCUGUUGCUAAUAUCAGCGGCUGAUGACGGUACCUGAAGAAUAAGCACCGGCUAACUACGUGCCAGCAGCCGCGGUAAUACGUAGGGUGCGAGCGUUAAUCGGAAUUACUGGGCGUAAAACGAGCGCAGACGGUUACUUAAGCAGGAUGUGAAAUCCCCGGGCUCAACCUGGGAACUGCGUUCUGAACUGGGUGACUAGAGUGUGUCAGAGGGAGGUAGAAUUCCACGUGUAGCAGUGAAAUGCGUAGAGAUGUGGAGGAAUACCGAUGGCGAAGGCAGCCUCCUGGGAUAACACUGACUUCAUGCUCGAAAGCGUGGGGAGCAAACAGG